CAGCAAGGCUCAGGUUGGAUCAUCAUGCUUCUCUUGGGAGAGUUGCAACUGCCAAGCAUGUGCGCGUGUAAGAGCUGGAUGUGGACCCUCCUCUGGGUGUUGCAUGAAGAGAUCAAGCAGCUUUUAGUCCCCAGUUAUGUGGUCAUAGCUCCUACUGAGGCCAGUAUCUACUCUGCAAUGGUUUGGACUAAAAGGACAUAGGAACACUUGGACUAAAGCUCAAAGUAUGAAAUGUUGAUGCAAGAAGGAGCAGAAUGGUUUCCUGCCCCACAGCACAGCCCUUCCCUCACCAGGAGCUGAGCACACCAGCAUGGAGUGAUGCAAAACAAUUAGCAGCGGGCAAAAACAGCAACAGACUUCAAGUAACCCGCUCACCAGUAAGGCAAGAUCCACAAUCUGUUCCCAGCAACCCGUGGUUAUGGCACCCAGACGAGCAGAUGGUGGUAACAGCCAGGCCAUGGACAAGAAAAUAA
Molecule: long non-coding RNA, 473 nt
Filed under: Coturnix japonica (Japanese quail)
Lineage: Eukaryota; Metazoa; Chordata; Aves; Galliformes; Phasianidae
Description: lncRNA (ENSCJPG00005001187.1)
Source: RNAcentral